This 85-nucleotide ribosomal RNA is filed under the name Citrobacter freundii. Its description in RNAcentral is "partial 23S ribosomal RNA". It matches the Rfam family "Bacterial large subunit ribosomal RNA", at positions 2841 to 2925 of the family's 2925-position model. Lineage: Bacteria; Pseudomonadati; Pseudomonadota; Gammaproteobacteria; Enterobacterales; Enterobacteriaceae. The record is from RNAcentral. RNAcentral also lists the same sequence under 1 other name.
AAGACUAUGACGUUGAUAGGUCGGGUGUGUAAGCGUAGCGAUACGUUGAGCUAACCGAUACUAAUGAACCGUGAGGCUUAACCUU